RNAcentral lists this ribosomal RNA (293 nucleotides) under uncultured bacterium. RNAcentral's name for it is "partial 16S ribosomal RNA". The record is from RNAcentral.
GGACUACCAGGGUAUCUAAUCCUGUUUGCUCCCCACGCUCUCGCGCACUCAGCGUCAGUGUCGACCCAGAGAGCCGCUUUCGCCGCUGGUGUUCCUCCCGAUAUCUACGAAUUUCACCUCUACACCGGGAAUUCCACCCUCCUCUUUCGCACUCUAGCGUGACAGUUUCAAAUGCAAUUCCUGGGUUAAGCCCAGGGCUUUCACACCUGACUUAUCACACCGCCUACGCGCCCUUUACGCCCAAUGAUUCCGAACAACACUUGCACCCUCUGUAUUACCGCGGCUGCUGGCAC